ACGUAGGGGGCAAGCGUUAUCCGGAUUCAUUGGGCGUAAAGCGCGCGCAGGCGGGCCGCUAAGCGGGACCUCUAAUCUUGGGGCUCAACCUCAAGCCGGGUCCCGAACUGGCAGCCUCGAGUGCGGUAGGGGUAAGCGGAAUUCCCGGUGUAGCGGUGGAAUGCGCAGAUAUCGGGAAGAACACCGAUGGCGAAGGCAGCUUACUGGGCCGACACUGACGCUGAGGCGCGAAAGCUAGGGGAGCGA
This 246-nucleotide ribosomal RNA is filed under the name uncultured bacterium. Its description in RNAcentral is "partial 16S ribosomal RNA". It matches the Rfam family "Bacterial small subunit ribosomal RNA", at positions 525 to 771 of the family's 1533-position model. The record is from RNAcentral.